CACGGGUGAGUAACACGUAUCCAACCUGCCGUCUACUCUUGGACAGCCUUCUGAAAGGAAGAUUAAUACAAGAUGGCAUCAUGAGUCCACAUGUUCACAUGAUUAAAGGUAUUCCGGUAGACGAUGGGGAUGCGUUCCAUUAGAUAGUAGGCGGGGUAACGGCCUACCUAGUCUUCGAUGGAUAGGGGUUCUGAGAGGAAGGUCCCCCACAUUGGAACUGAGACACGGUCCAA
Molecule: ribosomal RNA, 233 nt
Filed under: uncultured bacterium
Lineage: Bacteria
Description: partial 16S ribosomal RNA
Rfam family: Bacterial small subunit ribosomal RNA
Source: RNAcentral